This 672-nucleotide ribosomal RNA is filed under the name Staphylococcus aureus. Its description in RNAcentral is "partial 23S ribosomal RNA". It matches the Rfam family "Bacterial large subunit ribosomal RNA", at positions 343 to 1017 of the family's 2925-position model. The record is from RNAcentral. Lineage: Bacteria; Bacillati; Bacillota; Bacilli; Caryophanales; Staphylococcaceae.
UGGAAAGAUGAAUCAAAGAAGGUAAUAAUCCUGUAGUCGAAAAUGUUGUCUCUCUUGAGUGGAUCCUGAGUACGACGGAGCACGUGAAAUUCCGUCGGAAUCUGGGAGGACCAUCUCCUAAGGCUAAAUACUCUCUAGUGACCGAUAGUGAACCAGUACCGUGAGGGAAAGGUGAAAAGCACCCCGGAAGGGGAGUGAAAUAGAACCUGAAACCGUGUGCUUACAAGUAGUCAGAGCCCGUUAAUGGGUGAUGGCGUGCCUUUUGUAGAAUGAACCGGCGAGUUACGAUUUGAUGCAAGGUUAAGCAGUAAAUGUGGAGCCGUAGCGAAAGCGAGUCUGAAUAGGGCGUUUAGUAUUUGGUCGUAGACCCGAAACCAGGUGAUCUACCCUUGGUCAGGUUGAAGUUCAGGUAACACUGAAUGGAGGACCGAACCGACUUACGUUGAAAAGUGAGCGGAUGAACUGAGGGUAGCGGAGAAAUUCCAAUCGAACCUGGAGAUAGCUGGUUCUCUCCGAAAUAGCUUUAGGGCUAGCCUCAAGUGAUGAUUAUUGGAGGUAGAGCACUGUUUGGACGAGGGGCCCCUCUCGGGUUACCGAAUUCAGACAAACUCCGAAUGCCAAUUAAUUUAACUUGGGAGUCAGAACAUGGGUGAUAAGGUCCGUGUUCGAAAG